CUCAAAAUCUUGAAAUUUAGUACGAAGCAACGUCUAUACGUAAUAGUAUAGACUAUAGAUAAAGGAAAAAUUGCGAAAACCAUACAUUUUUAGUUACAUUAUAUAAUAAAAAUAUUUUUAAUAAUUUAAAGUUACUACCACUUUCCUCAUGAACGCGCAGAGGUAAGUAUUAGAUUGAAAUUCAUAUCAAAUACUCAGGUCUAUAAUACCUUUAAGCUGUAACAAAAUGAAACCUCUAUGUCAACGCAAUCAAAAGAAACAGCAAUUUAACCUUUAAGUACGGACGUGGAGUUUCACAGGCUAUUCAAUGUUUUCGUUUUCUUAGUUUCACCUAAUUCCCCCCACUCCCCGCGAUUGAGCAUCUCAGUAGCUUUUGUUUUAGUUGUAAAACUACCAACGAGGGAGAAGGUUGCGACUUCCCAUGAAUAUCACUGAGGCCGGGGAGCGGCGCGCAUGCGCGAGCCUGCCACAGAGUGCGCCGACGCGUGCCGGAGCCGUGCCGGACCCGUGCCGGACUCGCGCCGCGUGCCGCCUCCUGUCCCACGCUUAAAAUUAUGAAUACAAACAGAACAGCCUGCUUGCCAUUUGUACCGAUACUACACGAGGACAUCACAAAUUUACAAACUACUAAAUUAACCAGCGCUCGCCCGCUUUACAAAUAAAUGUCAUUCCGUUUCAACUGAGAGCGAAUCAACGAGAUCACAAUACUAGCGAAUCUAAAAUUAUUGUCAUACAAUAUUUUAGGCAGUUUUUUUUCUAAAUACAUCGGUACACGUAGUUUGAACUAUAAUAUAAGGUUUUGGUUAAAUUGGUUUCAUAUAAUUUUAUGUUACUAAUAGUAUGUUGAGGUCAUUGACUCGUACCUCAGUUUACUUUAUAAUAAAAUUACCUACUGCAGUGCA
Molecule: long non-coding RNA, 902 nt
Organism: Manduca sexta (tobacco hornworm)
Lineage: Eukaryota; Metazoa; Arthropoda; Insecta; Lepidoptera; Sphingidae
Exons: 2
Source: RefSeq, a predicted model, not a curated record